UGAUCAUGCCCUACCUACAAAAGAGUUAGGUAAAUGCAAAGACAUAUUUUUGGUAUUUUGGUUAGUAAAAUGAUAAUUUACAAGUAUGAUACAAUCACAUGGUGCUUGGUGAUCUCUCCCAGAACAAACCCAAUGAAACAGGGGUAAGGAGGAUGUCAAGGUAUGAUCCCAAUGCUAAUGCAUAUAAUGAAAUUGCAUGAGGAAUCUUAGGGUCAAAAUUGGGGUCUUACACAUAUCCAAAGCACCAUCCAUCUUUUCAUGUCGAAGUCCAAGCAUGUCAAUUGCACUUCAAGUCAUCAGCCAAAACUAAAAAUAACCUGCGAAGAAGGAAGCGAAUUCUUAGCUCUCAUUUUCUAAUUCAGAACUAAACCUACACAAACCACCAAAAAAAUAUGCAUAAAAACCAAGUAUGAACUCUCAUGAGCUCUCCUAAUAGAACCUAUAACCAACCUUCAAUUUCAUCACCUAACAAGAAACGAACCGAAUUUUUUAGCAUAACAGAAAUAUAUGAUUCCCACAAUGCAUAAAAGAGCUUGAAUCUCACCCUUAAAACAUUCCAACUUUCCCUUCAUCUCACUCGAACAAAAUCCUUGACCCUACAUUGAAAUUGCUAAUAGAAUUGGUUUUUUAACAUUACAAUUACUCACAACAGUAUAUCAAAUCCUGCACUAACUUGCUACUAACGAUUUAACAUCCAACCGAGUUCAAAACGGAAGCUUGACGACAUGAAUUAACUAGCAUCCAAUCGAUCAUCGACAAAAUUCACUUCAGAUAACUAACAUGUUAAUCAGACUAAUCAACUAAGCACACCUUGCAUCCUGCAUUUUCAUGUUGACAGUAGAAACAUUAUUAUGCCCGCCAUUCAUGACAGCUUUGCAAAAAUCAUCCAGCCUACUAAUACAGUAGAGAAAAAUAUCAUUUUCAUCCUGCAGUAAAUCACAUAACAGAUCAAGACCUAAUUCCACGCCAUUGACUUGACCUAACCAAUUUUCAUUACUUAACUAACCGAAUGACAACCUAACACAUUUUUCAAUGUCUAACUAACUGAAUGUGAAUUGAAUUUACACUUUUGUUUCCAACAGAUUUUAUAACUAACAUCCAACUGAUAUUCACUAACCAACUAUCAUAGCUCAAUCUCAUUUCAAUGUGAAUUUAAGUUAAUUUUGUUACCUGCCCUAACGGUGCCCGAUGUUCACGACCUGCCCGAUUCAGUUACAGCUCUUCAUUCCUCUCUAUAACAUUUCAUUUGCCUCAUUCCGCAUCACUUUUUUAAUUUCGGAAAUUUCUUCAUUCCAAACUUACACAACCUCUUGAUUCUUCAAGCUACGCUUAUCUUCAUUCUGCAACGUCUGCAAGAUUUUCAUUCUGCAACGUCUGCAAGAGCUUGAUUCUGUAACUUCUGCAAGAGCUUCAUUCUAGAGCCUCAAGCUUUAUUCUAUAAUCUGCAAUUCACGGGGAAACAGAUAACUGAAUCAUAGCAAUUAGAAGAAGAAGACUAAAGAAGAAGAGGAGAAAGCAAAUCGAGGAGAAUUCGCUCAUCCUCCUUACAACUUCUCAACCAUUCCCGUACCAGAGGUGUUCUUCAUCUGCAACGGUUCACACAAAAGCAUACUCAAUCUCUACAAUUUACAUACCAGUUUCAGAGUUACAAGAGUAAGAAUAAGAAAGGCAAAGUUGGAAUCAGUUUUGUACCUGUCAAUGAGUAAAGCUUCGAGUCCGAUAAGCCUCUUACAUCCAUUCUCGUUCUUCUUAUUCGUUGUCAUGUGCGUACAUGAGUUGAUUCGAGUGUGGAUGAUGAUUCUAAGCUGCGAACUAUGGAGGUAGAGUCACGUCCUUCAUUUGGCGCAAGGAGAAAUUUCCAUCUUAGCUUCUUUCCAUAAGCGCUUUUUCUGGUGUGUUUCGUGUUACUGAGAUUUCUUUCAAAUCCGGAGGAGGACAUUGGAUUCGUGGCACGAUGAGCUCGUAUAAGAUGAAUACGACGGAUUCAUGGUGUUGACAGGAGACGAAUCCGGCGCGACUUUUGGAAUGUGCGAGUAAGCUUGAAUAUGUGACAUUCAUU
Molecule: long non-coding RNA, 2059 nt
Filed under: Lathyrus oleraceus (garden pea)
Lineage: Eukaryota; Viridiplantae; Streptophyta; Magnoliopsida; Fabales; Fabaceae
Description: Pisum sativum (pea) long non-coding RNA (PSAT_LNC034538)
Source: RNAcentral